RNAcentral lists this ribosomal RNA (497 nucleotides) under uncultured bacterium. RNAcentral's name for it is "partial 16S ribosomal RNA". It matches the Rfam family "Bacterial small subunit ribosomal RNA", at positions 28 to 507 of the family's 1533-position model. The record is from RNAcentral.
GAUGAACGCUGGCGGCGUGCCUAAUACAUGCAAGUCGAGCGAACGGACGAGAAGCUUGCUUCUCUGAUGUUAGCGGCGGACGGGUGAGUAACACGUGGAUAACCUACCUAUAAGACUGGGAUAACUUCGGGAAACCGGAGCUAAUACCGGAUAAUAUUUUGAACCGCAUGGUUCAAAAGUGAAAGACGGUCUUGCUGUCACUUAUAGAUGGAUCCGCGCUGCAUUAGCUAGUUGGUAAGGUAACGGCUUACCAAGGCAACGAUGCAUAGCCGACCUGAGAGGGUGAUAGGCCACACUGGAACUGAGACACGGUCCAGACUCCUACGGGAGGCAGCAGUAGGGAAUCUUCCGCAAUGGGCGAAAGCCUGACGGAGCAACGCCGCGUGAGUGAUGAAGGUCUUCGGAUCGUAAAACUCUGUUAUUAGGGGAGAACAUAUGUGUAAGUAACUGUGCACAUCUUGACGGUACCUAAUCAGAAAGCCACGGCUAACUACGUG